ACGACUCUCGGCAACGGAUAUCUUGGCUCACGCAUCGAUGAAGAACGUAGCAAAAUGCGAUACUUGGUGUGAAUUGCAGAAUCCCGUGAACCAUCGAGUUUUUGAACGCAAGUUGCGCCCAAAGCCAUUCGGUCGAGGGCACGUCUGCCUGGGCGUCACG
Molecule: ribosomal RNA, 160 nt
Filed under: Centratherum australianum
Lineage: Eukaryota; Viridiplantae; Streptophyta; Magnoliopsida; Asterales; Asteraceae
Description: 5.8S ribosomal RNA
Rfam family: 5.8S ribosomal RNA
About the family: 5.8S ribosomal RNA (5.8S rRNA) is a component of the large subunit of the eukaryotic ribosome. It is transcribed by RNA polymerase I as part of the 45S precursor that also contains 18S and 28S rRNA.
Source: RNAcentral